RNAcentral lists this ribosomal RNA (1330 nucleotides) under Strongygaster triangulifera. RNAcentral's name for it is "eukaryotic LSU rRNA". It matches the Rfam family "Eukaryotic large subunit ribosomal RNA", at positions 110 to 1237 of the family's 3401-position model. The record is from RNAcentral. Lineage: Eukaryota; Metazoa; Arthropoda; Insecta; Diptera; Tachinidae.
CGCACUAGUCACUUUGUCUUUAUGGCAAAUGUGAGAUGCAGUGUAUGGAAUGUCAAAUUUCUAGUAUGAGAAAUUAACGAUUUAAGUCCUUCUUAAAUGAGGCCAUUUACCCAUAGAGGGUGCCAGGCCCGUAUAACGUUAAUGAUUACUAGAUGACAUUUCCAAAGAGUCGUGUUGCUUGAUAGUGCAGCACUAAGUGGGUGGUAAACUCCAUCUAAAACUAAAUAUAACCAUGAGACCGAUAGUAAACAAGUACCGUGAGGGAAAGUUGAAAAGAACUCUGAAUAGAGAGUUAAAUAGUACGUGAAACUGCUUAGAGGUUAAGCCCGAUGAACCUGAAUAUCCAUUAUAAAAAAUUCAUCAUUAUGAUUAUAAUAUUUAUAAUAUAUUAUAAUAAUGGUGUGCAUUUUUUUUAUAAAAGGACAUUGUAAUCUAUUAACAUAUUUAAAAUAUUUAUCAUAAAAUCAUUAUGCGUAAGUUUAUUCAAAUUAUUUUGCUUGCAUUUUAAUAUUGAGUAAAUGCUUUUGAUUUGAUAAAGUGUUGAUAGAUUUAUUUAUAUAUAGUGCUUAAAUAUAUUAUAUUUUAUAAUAGCAUAUAAAUCAUUGAUUUUUAUGUUUAUUAUAUGCACUUAUAUGAUUAACAAUGCGAAAGAUUCAGGAUACCUUCGGGACCCGUCUUGAAACACGGACCAAGGAGUCUAACAUAUUUGCAAGUUAUUGGGUAUGAAAAACCUAAUAGCAAAAUUAACAUAACUUAUAAUGGGAUUAGUUUUUUAGUCUAUUAUAUAAUAGUCUAUUAAUUCAAUCCCGGGGCGUUCUAUACAGUUAUGUAUAAUAAUAUUUAUAUUAUUUAUACCUCUAACUAGAGCGUACCUUGAGCAUAUAUGCUGUGACCCGAAAGAUGGUGAACUAUACUUGAUCAGGUUGAAGUCAGGGGAAACCCUGAUGGAAGACCGAAACAGUUCUGACGUGCAAAUCGAUUGUCAGAAUUGAGUAUAGGGGCGAAAGACCAAUCGAACCAUCUAGUAGCUGGUUCCCUCCGAAGUUUCCCUCAGGAUAGCUGGUGCAUUUAAAAAUUAAGUAAAAUAAUCUUAUCUGGUAAAGCGAAUGAUUAGAGGCCUUAGGGUCGAAACGAUCUUAACCUAUUCUCAAACUUUAAAUGGGUAAGAACCUCACCUUUCUUGGYAUGAAGGUUGAGGUUGUGAUAUAAUGUGCCCAGUGGGCCACUUUUGGUAAGCAGAACUGGCGCUGUGGGAUGAACCAAACGUAAUGUUACGGUGCCCAAAUUAACAACUCAUACAGAUACCAUGAAAGGCGUUGGUUGCUUAAAA